Molecule: non-coding RNA, 105 nt
Organism: Acanthosepion pharaonis
Lineage: Eukaryota; Metazoa; Mollusca; Cephalopoda; Sepiida; Sepiidae
Source: the annotation of a GenBank genome assembly
UACGGCCACGUCACGUUGAAACACGAGUUCCCGUACGAUCACUGAAGUUAAGAAUCGUCGAGUCUGGUCAGUACCUGGAUGGGUGAUCGCUUAGGAAUACCAGUU